AUCCAACUGACGAGUCACAAACAGGAUGAAACUCCCGUCCUGGAU
This 45-nucleotide non-coding RNA is filed under the name Schistosoma mansoni. The record is from RNAcentral. Lineage: Eukaryota; Metazoa; Platyhelminthes; Trematoda; Strigeidida; Schistosomatidae.